UUCUUCCCUGCAGUGACUGUGUCAAGCAGCGAGGGUGGACCGGCUUCCGGCACUCUAGGUCCUCGGGGCCUUCGAGUCAAGGUCAAAGUGCUGCUUCUACCUGGCACCACCACCUCUCAAGUGCAUGUGUCCACUGCCCUCCAGAGACUCCUAGCAAAAGUGGAUGCUGUCUGAGAACUGGCCCAGGCGGUAUGCAGCAGGGACCAGCGCUCAGAAUCGUGCUGCUGAGAUGUCUGGUGAGGGCACUGCUGUCUCCCCCUCAUCUGGGAGCGGAUGCCACAGCGUGUACCCCUGACAUGAACACCGGAUGCUGUGUUGCCAUAACUCUGAAGCAAGAUUUUGAAGGUGUGCUGCUAUCCCUACCAGGUAAAAACAAAUGAUUUCUGGAUUCUCUGCCUAUUGGGACAGAGAAUGAAGCCUUUGCCAGGGGCUGUGUUGAUUUUCCCCAAUAAAGAAUCACCUGGGAUAGCA
This is a long non-coding RNA of Myotis davidii, 471 nucleotides long. RefSeq lists it as uncharacterized. NCBI's taxonomy places the organism in Eukaryota, Metazoa, Chordata, Mammalia, Chiroptera, Vespertilionidae. The transcript has 2 exons. The record is from RefSeq and is a predicted model, not a curated record.